RNAcentral lists this ribosomal RNA (591 nucleotides) under Fusarium solani. RNAcentral describes it as "eukaryotic LSU rRNA". It matches the Rfam family "Eukaryotic large subunit ribosomal RNA", at positions 32 to 643 of the family's 3401-position model. Lineage: Eukaryota; Fungi; Ascomycota; Sordariomycetes; Hypocreales; Nectriaceae. The record is from RNAcentral.
AGUCACGACGCAUAUCAAUAAGCGGAGGAAAAGAAACCAACAGGGAUUGCCCCAGUAACGGCGAGUGAAGCGGCAACAGCUCAAAUUUGAAAUCUGGCUCUCGGGCCCGAGUUGUAAUUUGUAGAGGAUGCUUUUGGUGAGGUGCCUUCCGAGUUCCCUGGAACGGGACGCCAUAGAGGGUGAGAGCCCCGUCUGGUUGGACACCGAUCCUCUGUAAAGCUCCUUCGACGAGUCGAGUAGUUUGGGAAUGCUGCUCUAAAUGGGAGGUAUAUGUCUUCUAAAGCUAAAUACCGGCCAGAGACCGAUAGCGCACAAGUAGAGUGAUCGAAAGAUGAAAAGAACUUUGAAAAGAGAGUUAAACAGUACGUGAAAUUGUUGAAAGGGAAGCGCUUGUGACCAGACUUGGGCUUGGUUGAUCAUCCGGGGUUCUCCCCGGUGCACUCUUCCGGCUCAGGCCAGCAUCAGUUCGCCCUGGGGGAUAAAGGCUUCGGGAAUGUGGCUCUCUCCGGGGAGUGUUAUAGCCCGCUGCGUAAUACCCUGUGGCGGACUGAGGUUCGCGCAUUCGCAAGGAUGCUGGCGUAAUGGUCAUCA